Lycium barbarum (goji berry) is the source of this 1267-nucleotide long non-coding RNA. RefSeq lists it as uncharacterized. The transcript is spliced from 2 exons. Lineage: Eukaryota; Viridiplantae; Streptophyta; Magnoliopsida; Solanales; Solanaceae. The record is from RefSeq and is a predicted model, not a curated record.
CCUUUACCCUACCCCGCUUCCUCCUCUCUCUCUCUUACCAUUCUCAGCAAACCCUAGCCGCCGCCCUUGAAUCCUUACCUCUCUCAUGCCAAAAAUGGCGCGUGUACAGGUCUGGACUAACAUGCGCAGUGUAUACGCCUAUAAUGGUGAAAUUUCAACGUUUACUCGAUUUUUUAUGCUUUGCUUUACCUGAAUAUGGUAAAAUCUUCCCCUUUAUCAUUAUUUUCCAAUUUUUUGUCGAAAUCAUCUUUGUUUGCUGCUUUUACAAUUUAUUUUGAUGGUAUUUUGUGAUUGGUCCAUUUUCAUUAGGCCAGAUCGACCCAAGAGGGCCAGAUCUGGCCGUAUAUUCACUUGUGUCGAUCUAAACCGUUGGUCUGAUGUUUAAUAUUUGUCCCACACUGGUGUUUGUUGGCUUUGUUCUAAACUUCGGGGUUCUAUAAAUAGAACCCCAGUCUUUGCACAAGGAAGGAUCUGGUUUUUGGAGAAAAAAUCGAAAACUGAAAAAAUAGUAAGGAAAAGAGUUAAAAGUAGAGUUUUAGAAAAGGGAAUUGAAAAAACUUAGAUUUUUUCAGAAGACUUUCCAGUAAAAAUAAUUUUAGAAACCUAAACAAAAAGGGUUAGGUUCUAGUUGAAAUAUUUGGUUCUCAUUUGCCUUAUUUUUCUUUGUGUGUGGCUAAGUCUGUUGAUUUGGAAGCACAGGGGCUCUCAAAUCCAUUCUUCCCUUGGCUGCGCGUGUAAAAGUAAAGAGUAUGAAGAUCAAUCCAUGAAGGCCAAAUCAAGGUUUAGUGUCUCUCUGAGAAGUCUUCAACAACCAAUGUCUUUAAAAGACAUAGCAAGGACUUGGGAUGUUGCACUCACGAGGUAAUUUGUGAGUAUGCACAGCAAAGUGGUGGAGGAACCUUCAGCUCAAAGUAUGGGUCUUGGGAGAAUUGUUUGAGUGCAGCAUGAUCAAACACCAAUUGAUGAUCCAAGUUAUGAGAUUGUCUUGAUCCGCCCUUUGACUGCUCUCUCCUUUUUAGUGGUGGUGACUGCACAUUUCUCGGCAUCUUGAAUUGGAAUGCGGAACACUGUUUGUAUAUGCUGGACAUUGAGUUGCUUCUAAUCAAGUGUAUAGCCCUUUGAGCUGUUUGUCCUUUAGCUAAAAUGACAAUUCUGUACAGUGUUUUUUGAACUUAGUGAAAUUAGAUGGUUUAAAAUUGUAAUGUCUGAUGGCUUGUCAAUUAGGGAGGGUAGUUUAGACCCCAUUAAAAGUAUCAUUUGCACCAUA